RNAcentral lists this unclassified non-coding RNA (410 nucleotides) under soil metagenome. RNAcentral describes it as "partial contains 5.8S ribosomal RNA, internal transcribed spacer 2, and large subunit ribosomal RNA". The stretch from base 1 to 121 matches the Rfam family "5.8S ribosomal RNA", at positions 35 to 154 of the family's 154-position model. The record is from RNAcentral.
GAUGAAGAACGUAGCGAAAUGCGAUAAGUAGUGUGAAUUGCAGAAGUACCGUGAAUCAUCGAAUCUCUGAACGCAAAUUGCACUCUCUGGUAUUCCGGGGAGUAUGCCUGUUUGAGGGUCGCUUAACAAACCAUCGAUUUCGUUGCUUUUUUUUAAAAAGUAAUGUUUAUCGGAUUUGAGCCGUCUUUUUUUUUUAUAUUUAAGUGGCUUAAAAUUGAUUUUUUUGGUAUGAUCGAAGCGUAUUUUAUGAUCAAUUUUUGGUUAAAGAAACGCAUACGCGUACCGUUAUUUGUAUGAUGUAAUACGUUUGACUAUUGGAUUUAGUUCAUUCGUAUACGAUAUUUUUCAAUAUUUGACCUCAAAUCAGGUAAGAACACCCGCUGAACUUAAGCAUAUCAAUAAGCGGAGGA